This 420-nucleotide long non-coding RNA is filed under the name Homo sapiens (human). RNAcentral describes it as "HSALNT0062191". Lineage: Eukaryota; Metazoa; Chordata; Mammalia; Primates; Hominidae. The record is from RNAcentral.
GUGAAGAGCCGACCUGUUUCACUGUCCUGACUCACCACCAUCUUGGUAGUGUGCAAGACUCUGGGACGGCAUGAGAAAGGCAGAAAGGGAGCAAAGGAGCUGGUGGGGUGUCACAGGGCCUAUGUAUGAGGCAGAUGUGAGUUCUGCAUCCAGUUUUGCAAUUUAUCCAUUUACCUGCCUGAGACUUGGAAACACCUACUUUAUAGUCCUGAUUCAAGUGUUGGCGGAUGGAAGGGAGGAGACUCCUGACCCUCAGAAUGGUGCAGAGAACAAAUGGUUGAAGCAUUUCCUCUGGUUGCAGUCCUGCAAACUGCUUUCCAAAGACAGUACUGAGCCUCAGAUGAUGUAGACCUCCUCAAAGUCCUGAAGAGUAGAAAAAUGCUCCUCCCCUACAGAAUAAUUUUUUUUGGAAAUUGUGAG